Molecule: ribosomal RNA, 460 nt
Filed under: uncultured bacterium
Lineage: Bacteria
Description: partial 16S ribosomal RNA
Rfam family: Bacterial small subunit ribosomal RNA
Source: RNAcentral
CCUACGGGAGGCAGCAGUGAGGAAUAUUGGUCAAUGGACGAGAGUCUGAACCAGCCAAGUAGCGUGAAGGAUGACUGCCCUAAGGGUUGUAAACCUCUUUUAUAAGGGAAUAAAACGAGGCACGUGUGCCUUUUUGCAUGUACUUUAUGAAUAAGGAUCGGCUAACUCCGUGCCAGCAGCCGCGGUAAUACGGAGGAUUCGAGCGUUAUCCGGAUUUAUUGGGUUUAAAGGGAGCGUAGAUGGGUUGUUAAGUCAGUUGUGAAAGUUUGCGGCUCAACCGUAAAAUUGCAAUUGAUACUGGCAGUCUUGAGUACAGGUGAGGUAGGCGGAAUGCGUGGUGUAGCGGUGAAAUGCUUAGAUAUCACGAAGAACCCCGAUUGCGAAGGCAGCUUGCUAACCUGUGACUGACAUUGAUGCACGAAAGUGUGGGUAUCAAACAGGAUUAGAUACCCUAGUAGUC